Molecule: ribosomal RNA, 232 nt
Filed under: uncultured bacterium
Lineage: Bacteria
Description: partial 16S ribosomal RNA
Rfam family: Bacterial small subunit ribosomal RNA
Source: RNAcentral
CUCUUAAAGCUGUUCUCAGUCGGACUGCAGUCUGCAACUCGACUGCACGAAGCUGGAAUCGCUAGUAAUCGCGGAUCAGCACGCCGCGGUGAAUACGUUCCCGGGCCUUGUACACACCGCCCGUCACACCAUGGAAGUCUGCAAUGCCCGAAGCCGGUGGCCUAACCACUUAUGUGGAAGGAGCCGUCUAAGGCAGGGCAGAUGACUGGGGGUGAAGUCGUAACAAGGUAGC